Molecule: ribosomal RNA, 253 nt
Filed under: uncultured bacterium
Lineage: Bacteria
Description: partial 16S ribosomal RNA
Rfam family: Bacterial small subunit ribosomal RNA
Source: RNAcentral
UACGUAGGGGGCUAGCGUUGUCCGGAAUCAUUGGGCGUAAAGAGCGUGUAGGCGGCCCGGUAAGUCCGCUGUGAAAGUCCAGGGCUCAACCCUGGGAUGCCGGUGGAUACUGUCGGGCUCGAGUCCGGAAGAGGAGUGUGGAAUUCCUGGUGUAGCGGUGAAAUGCGCAGAUAUCAGGAGGAACACCAAUUGCGAAGGCAGCUCGCUGGGACGUUACUGACGCUGAGACGCGAAAGCGUGGGGAGCAAACAGG